This 302-nucleotide ribosomal RNA is filed under the name uncultured bacterium. RNAcentral describes it as "bacterial SSU rRNA". It matches the Rfam family "Bacterial small subunit ribosomal RNA", at positions 30 to 334 of the family's 1533-position model. The record is from RNAcentral.
AUUGAACGCUGGCGGCAUGCCUUACACAUGCAAGUCGAACGGUAACAGGUCUUCGGACGCUGACGAGUGGCGAACGGGUGAGUAAUACAUCGGAACGUGCCCAGUCGUGGGGGAUAACUACUCGAAGAGUAGCUAAUACCGCAUACGAUCUGAGGAUGAAAGCGGGGGACCGUUCGGGCCUCGCGCGAUUGGAGCGGCCGAUGGCAGAUUAGCUAGUUGGUGAGGUAAAGGCUCACCAAGGCGACGAUCGGUAGCUGGUCUGAGAGGACGACCAGCCACACUGGGACUGAGACACGGCCCAG